UAAUGUUCUUAUAGUUGAAAUACAACGAUGGUUUUUCAUAUCA
RNAcentral lists this transfer RNA (43 nucleotides) under Mustela sibirica (Siberian weasel). RNAcentral describes it as "partial tRNA-Glu". Lineage: Eukaryota; Metazoa; Chordata; Mammalia; Carnivora; Mustelidae. The record is from RNAcentral.